GGGUUGUGAGGUUAAGCGACUAAGCGUACACGGUGGAUGCCCUGGCAGUCAGAGGCGAUGAAGGACGUGCUAAUCUGCGAUAAGCGUCGGUAAGGUGAUAUGAACCGUUAUAACCGGCGAUUUCCGAAUGGGGAAACCCAGUGUGUUUCGACACACUAUCAUUAACUGAAUCCAUAGGUUAAUGAGGCGAACCGGGGGAACUGAAACAUCUAAGUACCCCGAGGAAAAGAAAUCAACCGAGAUUCCCCCAGUAGCGGCGAGCGAACGGGGAGCAGCCCAGAGCCUGAAUCAGUGUGUGUGUUAGUGGAAGCGUCUGGAAAGGCGCGCGAUACAGGGUGACAGCCCCGUACACAAAAAUGCACAUGCUGUGAGCUCGAUGAGUAGGGCGGGACACGUGGUAUCCUGUCUGAAUAUGGGGGGACCAUCCUCCAAGGCUAAAUACUCCUGACUGACCGAUAGUGAACCAGUACCGUGAGGGAAAGGCGAAAAGAACCCCGGCGAGGGGAGUGAAAAAGAACCUGAAACCGUGUACGUACAAGCAGUGGGAGCACAGAGCAAUCUGUGUGACUGCGUACCUUUUGUAUAAUGGGUCAGCGACUUAUAUUCUGUAGCAAGGUUAACCGAAUAGGGGAGCCGAAGGGAAACCGAGUCUUAACUGGGCGUUAAGUUGCAGGGUAUAGACCCGAAACCCGGUGAUCUAGCCAUGGGCAGGUUGAAGGUUGGGUAACACUAACUGGAGGACCGAACCGACUAAUGUUGAAAAAUUAGCGGAUGACUUGUGGCUGGGGGUGAAAGGCCAAUCAAACCGGGAGAUAGCUGGUUCUCCCCGAAAGCUAUUUAGGUAGCGCCUCGUGAAUUCAUCUCCGGGGGUAGAGCACUGUUUCGGCAAGGGGGUCAUCCCGACUUACCAACCCGAUGCAAACUGCGAAUACCGGAGAAUGUUAUCACGGGAGACACACGGCGGGUGCUAACGUCCGUCGUGAAGAGGGAAACAACCCAGACCGCCAGCUAAGGUCCCAAAGUCAUGGUUAAGUGGGAAACGAUGUGGGAAGGCCCAGACAGCCAGGAUGUUGGCUUAGAAGCAGCCAUCAUUUAAAGAAAGCGUAAUAGCUCACUGGUCGAGUCGGCCUGCGCGGAAGAUGUAACGGGGCUAAACCAUGCACCGAAGCUGCGGCAGCGACGCUUAUGCGUUGUUGGGUAGGGGAGCGUUCUGUAAGCCUGUGAAGGUGUGCUGUGAGGCAUGCUGGAGGUAUCAGAAGUGCGAAUGCUGACAUAAGUAACGAUAAAGCGGGUGAAAAGCCCGCUCGCCGGAAGACCAAGGGUUCCUGUCCAACGUUAAUCGGGGCAGGGUGAGUCGACCCCUAAGGCGAGGCCGAAAGGCGUAGUCGAUGGGAAACAGGUUAAUAUUCCUGUACUUGGUGUUACUGCGAAGGGGGGACGGAGAAGGCUAUGUUGGCCGGGCGACGGUUGUCCCGGUUUAAGCGUGUAGGCUGGUUUUCCAGGCAAAUCCGGAAAAUCAAGGCUGAGGCGUGAUGACGAGGCACUACGGUGCUGAAGCAACAAAUGCCCUGCUUCCAGGAAAAGCCUCUAAGCAUCAGGUAACAUCAAAUCGUACCCCAAACCGACACAGGUGGUCAGGUAGAGAAUACCAAGGCGCUUGAGAGAACUCGGGUGAAGGAACUAGGCAAAAUGGUGCCGUAACUUCGGGAGAAGGCACGCUGAUAUGUAGGUGAGGUCCCUCGCGGAUGGAGCUGAAAUCAGUCGAAGAUACCAGCUGGCUGCAACUGUUUAUUAAAAACACAGCACUGUGCAAACACGAAAGUGGACGUAUACGGUGUGACGCCUGCCCGGUGCCGGAAGGUUAAUUGAUGGGGUUAGCGGUAACGCGAAGCUCUUGAUCGAAGCCCCGGUAAACGGCGGCCGUAACUAUAACGGUCCUAAGGUAGCGAAAUUCCUUGUCGGGUAAGUUCCGACCUGCACGAAUGGCGUAAUGAUGGCCAGGCUGUCUCCACCCGAGACUCAGUGAAAUUGAACUCGCUGUGAAGAUGCAGUGUACCCGCGGCAAGACGGAAAGACCCCGUGAACCUUUACUAUAGCUUGACACUGAACAUUGAGCCUUGAUGUGUAGGAUAGGUGGGAGGCUUAGAAGUGUGGACGCCAGUCUGCAUGGAGCCGACCUUGAAAUACCACCCUUUAAUGUUUGAUGUUCUAACGUUGACCCGUAAUCCGGGUUGCGGACAGUGUCUGGUGGGUAGUUUGACUGGGGCGGUCUCCUCCUAAAGAGUAACGGAGGAGCACGAAGGUUGGCUAAUCCUGGUCGGACAUCAGGAGGUUAGUGCAAUGGCAUAAGCCAGCUUGACUGCGAGCGUGACGGCGCGAGCAGGUGCGAAAGCAGGUCAUAGUGAUCCGGUGGUUCUGAAUGGAAGGGCCAUCGCUCAACGGAUAAAAGGUACUCCGGGGAUAACAGGCUGAUACCGCCCAAGAGUUCAUAUCGACGGCGGUGUUUGGCACCUCGAUGUCGGCUCAUCACAUCCUGGGGCUGAAGUAGGUCCCAAGGGUAUGGCUGUUCGCCAUUUAAAGUGGUACGCGAGCUGGGUUUAGAACGUCGUGAGACAGUUCGGUCCCUAUCUGCCGUGGGCGCUGGAGAACUGAGGGGGGCUGCUCCUAGUACGAGAGGACCGGAGUGGACGCAUCACUGGUGUUCGGGUUGUCAUGCCAAUGGCACUGCCCGGUAGCUAAAUGCGGAAGAGAUAAGUGCUGAAAGCAUCUAAGCACGAAACUUGCCCCGAGAUGAGUUCUCCCUGACUCCUUGAGAGUCCUGAAGGAACGUUGAAGACGACGACGUUGAUAGGCCGGGUGUGUAAGCGCAGCGAUGCGUUGAGCUAACCGGUACUAAUGAACCGUGAGGCUUAACCUUACAACGCCGAAG
This 2929-nucleotide ribosomal RNA is filed under the name Escherichia coli. RNAcentral's name for it is "23S ribosomal RNA". It matches the Rfam family "Bacterial large subunit ribosomal RNA". The record is from RNAcentral. Lineage: Bacteria; Pseudomonadati; Pseudomonadota; Gammaproteobacteria; Enterobacterales; Enterobacteriaceae.